UGGGGAAUAUUGCACAAUGGGCGCAAGCCUGAUGCAGCCAUGCCGCGUGUGUGAAGAAGGCCUUCGGGUUGUAAAGCACUUUUGUCCGGAAAGAAAUCCUUGGCUCUAAUACAGUCGGGGGAUGACGGUACCGGAAGAAUAAGCACCGGCUAACUACGUGCCAGCAGCCGCGGUAAUACGUAGGGUGCAAGCGUUAAUCGGAAUUACUGGGCGUAAAGCGUGCGCAGGCGGUUUGCUAAGACCGAUGUGAAAUCCCCGGGCUCAACCUGGGAACUGCAUUGGUGACUGGCAGGCUAGAGUAUGGCAGAGGGGGGUAGAAUUCCACGUGUAGCAGGUGAAAUGCGUAGAGAUGUGGAGGAAUACCGAUGGCGAAGGCAGCCCCCUGGGCCAAUACUGACGCUCAUGCACGAAAGCGUGGGGAGCAAACAGGAUUAGAUACCCUGGUAGUCCACGCCCUAAACGAUGUCAACUAGUUGUUGGGGGAUUCAUUUUCCUUAGUAACGUAGCUAACGCGUGAAGUUGACCGCCUGGGGAGUACGGUCGCAAGAUUAAAACUCAAAUGAAUUGACGGGGUCAUAGCUGUUUCCUG
Molecule: ribosomal RNA, 589 nt
Filed under: uncultured bacterium
Lineage: Bacteria
Description: partial 16S ribosomal RNA
Rfam family: Bacterial small subunit ribosomal RNA
Source: RNAcentral